UACAGAGGUGGCAAGCGUUGUUCGGAAUUACUGGGCGUAAAGGGCGCGUAGGCGGUUCGUUAAGUCCUGUGUGAAAUCCCCCGGCUCAACUGGGGAACUGCACAGGAAACUAGCGGGCUUGAGUUCGGGAGAGGGAAGCGGAAUUCCGGGUGUAGCGGUGAAAUGCGUAGAUAUUGGGAGGAACACCGGUGGCGAAGGCGGCCCCCUGGACCGGUACUGACGCUGAGGCGCGAAAGCGUGGGUAGCAAACGGG
Molecule: ribosomal RNA, 253 nt
Filed under: uncultured bacterium
Lineage: Bacteria
Description: partial 16S ribosomal RNA
Rfam family: Bacterial small subunit ribosomal RNA
Source: RNAcentral